GGCUAGGACAAUGGUAGGCUCGCUAAGCGUGUCAGAUCUGGAAGGAAGCAGCACUACGUGGGUGCUACCAUGUGUCUGAUUUAAG
Molecule: non-coding RNA, 85 nt
Organism: Vagococcus penaei
Lineage: Bacteria; Bacillati; Bacillota; Bacilli; Lactobacillales; Enterococcaceae
Source: Rfam